This is a long non-coding RNA of Neofelis nebulosa (Clouded leopard), 460 nucleotides long. RefSeq lists it as uncharacterized. The transcript has 2 exons. NCBI's taxonomy places the organism in Eukaryota, Metazoa, Chordata, Mammalia, Carnivora, Felidae. The record is from RefSeq and is a predicted model, not a curated record.
AGAAAGCGUUUGAAUUGCCAAGGAACUCUCAGAAUAAAAUGAAAGGGUUGGACUUGUAGAAAUUUAUAGGCAUCUAUAUCGAUGUAUGCAAUACAGAUAGUUAUCACCGUUGAGAUGUGUAUCAAAGCUUAUGGGCCGGUCUUCCGGGAACUUUUUUUCAAGAUGGCCGACGGCACUACAAGGAAAUCACUUUUUUUGCCUUUCCACCUUCCUUUUUUUUCUACAGCAGACAAGUUGGCCGGAGCUUCAGCAGCUAGCUUGGAUCCUGAGUAAACACGAGGCUGGAGGUCAGGGGCUCCACAUAAUGAAGAAAAACGAUGGCACAAACUUAAAUCUCUGGUAACCACAGAGCUACCUACCAUCCCAGCUCUGGACUGUCCCCAGUAGGCUUCUUUUACUGGAGAGAAAAAUCAAACUUGAUCUUGUUUAAGCCACUUAUUUGAGUUUUCGGUCAAAAGCA